AUUGAACGCUGGCGGAAUGCUUUACACAUGCAAGUCGAGCGGCAGCGCGGGGGCAACCCUGGCGGCGAGCGGCGAACGGGUGAGUAACAUAUCGGAACGUACCCCGUCGUGGGGGAUAACACAGCGAAAGCUGUGCUAAUACCGCAUACGACCUGAGGGUGAAAGCGGGGGAUCGCAAGACCUCGCGCGAUGGGAGCGGCCGAUAUCGGAUUAGCUUGUUGGUGAGGUAAAGGCUCACCAAGGCGACGAUCCGUAGCUGGUCUGAGAGGACGACCAGCCACACUGGAACUGAGACACGGUCCAGACUCCUACGGGAGGCAGCAGUGGGGAAUUUUGGGACAAUGGGGGCAACCCUGAUCCAGCCAUUCCGCGUGAGUGAAGAAGGCCUUCGGGUUG
This 396-nucleotide ribosomal RNA is filed under the name uncultured bacterium. RNAcentral's name for it is "bacterial SSU rRNA". It matches the Rfam family "Bacterial small subunit ribosomal RNA", at positions 29 to 425 of the family's 1533-position model. The record is from RNAcentral.